UACUAUUAUGACUGACUAUCCUAUCCAGCAUUUGGUAAGUAUGGAUGAGACACAACUUGCUUUUACAAGUUAAUCUGAUCUGUUAAAGCCAGUUUUUUGUUUGCGGUCAUUUGUCCUCUUUCAUUUAAGGAGGAAAAAGCCUUGUGGUGUACCAGCUCUUUAUAGAGAAGCUUAAUGGUGAAGCAAAGCAUACCUUUUUCAGAUGCAUCAUGAAGACUAGCCAUCAUGCAGGUGUAGAAAGUAUCAUCAUCAAAAACAUAAAGAAUCAAAUGGAACGCUGCAGAAAGUCAGCCUAUGAAGACAGCUGGUUUGAGGGGACUCCGCUCAUCUCACUGCUCAGAGAAACUCUCAUUCUCCCAAAGGGCCAUGAAACGGACUUGCUACAUGGGAUGGACAGGUGAAGAAAACCUGUAUUUUUACAAAGACCUUAAAGGGGUCAUAUGAUGCGAUUUAAAAUGUUCCUUUCU
Molecule: long non-coding RNA, 467 nt
Organism: Cyprinus carpio (common carp)
Lineage: Eukaryota; Metazoa; Chordata; Actinopteri; Cypriniformes; Cyprinidae
Exons: 3
Source: RefSeq, a predicted model, not a curated record